UUGUGGAAGUUAAAAUCGUAACAAGGUUUCCGUAGGUGAACCUGCGGAAGGGAUCAUUACACAUUCGGGGCGCUUCGGCGCUCCUUAUACACCCACCCUCGGCCUACGUGUACCUCUAUAGCUUCCUCGGCGGGCUCGCCCGCCGCCAGGAACCCACGAAACCCCUUGCUUUAUACGCGAAAACUUCUGAUAACAAACCUAAAUUAUCACAACUUUCAACAAUGGAUCUCUUGGUUCUGGCAUCGAUGAAGAACGCAGCGAAAUGCGAUAAGUAGUGUGAAUUGCAGAAUUCAGUGAAUCAUCGAAUCUUUGAACGCACAUUGCGGCCAUAGGUAUUCCUUUGGCCAUGCCUGUUCGAGCGUCAUUUACACCCUCAAGCCUAGCUUGGUGUUGGGCGUCUGUCCCGCCGUUUUCGCGCGCGGACUCGCCUCAAAGUCAUUGGCGGCGGUCGUGCCGGCCCCUCGCGCAGCACAUUUGCGCUUCUCGGAGGCCCGGCGGAUCCGCGCUCCAGCAAGACCUUUCAUGACUGACCUCGGAUCAGGUGAGACCCG
Molecule: ribosomal RNA, 551 nt
Filed under: Periconia macrospinosa
Lineage: Eukaryota; Fungi; Ascomycota; Dothideomycetes; Pleosporales; Periconiaceae
Description: partial 18S ribosomal RNA
Rfam family: 5.8S ribosomal RNA (bases 211-364)
Source: RNAcentral